GGGCACAUAGCUCAGUUGGUUAGAGCGUCCGCCUCACACGCGGAAGGCCGUGGGUUCAAGUCCUACUGUGCCCACCA
RNAcentral lists this transfer RNA (77 nucleotides) under Elusimicrobiota bacterium. RNAcentral's name for it is "Elusimicrobia bacterium (groundwater metagenome) tRNA-Val". It matches the Rfam family "tRNA". Rfam says of the family: Transfer RNA (tRNA) molecules are approximately 80 nucleotides in length. Their secondary structure includes four short double-helical elements and three loops (D, anti-codon, and T loops). The record is from RNAcentral. Lineage: Bacteria; Pseudomonadati; Elusimicrobiota.